This 422-nucleotide ribosomal RNA is filed under the name Chaetoceros curvisetus. RNAcentral describes it as "partial Bacterial large subunit ribosomal RNA". It matches the Rfam family "Bacterial large subunit ribosomal RNA", at positions 23 to 515 of the family's 2925-position model. Lineage: Eukaryota; Bacillariophyta; Thalassiosirophyceae; Chaetocerotales; Chaetocerotaceae. The record is from RNAcentral.
GGGGAAUGCCUAGGCUCUCAGAGGCGAUGAAGGACGUGAUAAGCUGCGAAAAGUUGCGGGGAUCUGCACACAAGAAUUGAUCCGCAAAUAUCCGAAUGGGGCAACCUGGCAUAUUGAAGAUAUGUUAUCCGCAAGGAGGCGAACCCGGAGAACUGAAACAUCUAAGUACCCGGAGGAAAGGAAAUCAAUUGAUACUCCCCUAGUAGCGGCGAGCGAACGGGGAGGAGCCGACUGAUUAUAAUUUAGAGGAAUGACUUGGAAAGGUCAAUCGUAGAGGGUGAUAAUCCCGUACUCGAAAGGUUAUAAGAAGCAUAUUAAGUAGGGCGGAACACGAGAAAUUCUGUCUGAAGAUGGGGGGACCAUCCUCCAAGGCUAAAUACUCGUGAUCGACCGAUAGUGAACCAGUACCGUGAGGGAAAGGU